AACGAACGCUGGCGGCAGGCUUAACACAUGCAAGUCGAGCGCCCCGCAAGGGGAGCGGCAGACGGGUGAGUAACGCGUGGGAAUCUACCCAUCUCUACGGAAUAACUCAGGGAAACUUGUGCUAAUACCGUAUACGCCCUUUGGGGGAAAGAUUUAUCGGAGAUGGAUGAGCCCGCGUUGGAUUAGCUAGUUGGUGGGGUAAUGGCCUACCAAGGCGACGAUCCAUAGCUGGUCUGAGAGGAUGAUCAGCCACACUGGGACUGAGACACGGCCCAGACUCCUACGGGAGGCAGCAGUGGGGAAUAUUGGACAAUGGGCGCAAGCCUGAUCCAGCCAUGCCGCGUGAGUGAUGAAGGCCCUAGGGUUGUAAAGCUCUUUCACCGGUGAAGAUAAUGACGGUAACCGGAGAAGAAGCCCCGGCUAACUUCGUG
Molecule: ribosomal RNA, 431 nt
Filed under: uncultured bacterium
Lineage: Bacteria
Description: bacterial SSU rRNA
Rfam family: Bacterial small subunit ribosomal RNA
Source: RNAcentral